CCUCCUUGAUCAAAUCCAAUGACUUUACUUCAGCCAUAAGCUGGCUAUACUCACGUUCAACUUCUUCUAGCUCAUUUCUGAGCUGUGUCGCCUUUUUAUUGAGUUCUUCUUUCCUCUUCUCAAAUUCCAGGCAUUGUGCUCGGAGUUUCUUGUUUUCCUGCAUCAAGUUUGCAGCUUCCUGAUAUUUUGACUGAGUUGCUGUAUUGAUAGGAUGGACCUGUGCUUCCAAACUCUGUUCUGAAACAAUUGCAUUGGCCCGUGAUUGUCCAUGCUUCUUCACACUUUUAAGUUCCACCAAAUCAUCAGAAUGUUUCCUUUUUGUACAUAAUCCAGUGGCAGGCAAUGCUUUUGCACUAGCAACAACAGGGGAACUUGGACUAAACUUGACAGGCUUUGUUUUACCAUUUGCCAUAACAAGAGGUGAGUCCUGUUUAGGCUGUGGUGCUGGAGGCUUUUUUUUGACCUGGUACCCAAUUAGCCCACAGUGAUAAUCCCAGUACUCCCAUGUCAUCUCCUUCAACCGACCUUCAAGUUUUUGCAAAAGGGAAGUUCUCUCAAAAUCUUGUUUGUUAUGUGUUGGUUCAAUAAAAUUUGCUUCCAGAACACCAACCACCCCUCUACCCCUACUGUCUGCAUAGCUCACAACUGGCCAAAAUGGCAAUAUUAAACGAUUCUUGUGGUAGACAUUGAAACCGUGAACACAGACAUGUGGAGCUUCUUUUAAAAACCCAAUUGUAGUUAUGACUUGACCCUCUACACAUCCACCGCAUUGAGGUCUAUACAAGAUGAAUUCUUGGAAUUUAAGAUCAUCAGCAAGAUUAUGAUGCUCAACCAGUCGUCCACGCAAUAUUAUUUGGAAAGUAGCAGGUAUCCGCAAGUACAAGAUGGACAAAUACACCCGAAGAGAGUAAUGUAACCGGUUAGCAAUGUGCUGUUCAUUAACCAUCCUCCAAGCAGGAAUUGUGUCAACUUUUUUUAUAUCCCCACAAAUACGAAUAUCCUCAGGAUCCGUAUCGAAGUCUAGCUCCACAAUCCCAUCAUCAUUCAACCAUAAAUUAUAGAUAAUAACUUUAGUGCCAUGUGACUCUAUGUCAUCAAAUUGCUUUAGAAGCUCAACUUCUGUUGAAUAUGGAGA
Molecule: unclassified non-coding RNA, 1135 nt
Filed under: Hevea brasiliensis (rubber tree)
Lineage: Eukaryota; Viridiplantae; Streptophyta; Magnoliopsida; Malpighiales; Euphorbiaceae
Source: RNAcentral